RNAcentral lists this long non-coding RNA (1522 nucleotides) under Taeniopygia guttata (zebra finch). RNAcentral's name for it is "lncRNA (ENSTGUG00000022008.1)". The record is from RNAcentral. Lineage: Eukaryota; Metazoa; Chordata; Aves; Passeriformes; Estrildidae.
GCUCCGGGGAGGCGAGCCGGGAGCAGCGCUGCCUCAUUCCCUUUUCCCAGUUUUUUCCUGGCUCAGACAUUCCCUCAUCCCCUUUUCCCAGUUUUUUCUGGGAGUGGACACUCCCUCAUUCCCUUUUCCCAGUUUUUCUGGGAGUGGACAUUCUCUCAUCCCCUUUUCCCAGUUUUUCCCAGCUCAGACACUCCCUAAUCCCCUUUUCCCAGGUUUUUCUGGGAGUGGACAAUCUCUCACCCCCUUUUCCCAGUUUUUUUUCCCAGCUCAGACACGCCCUCACCCCCUUUUCCCAGUUUUUCCCAUCUCAGACACUCCCUCAUCCCCUUUUCCCAGCUUUUCUGGGAGCAGCACUCCUUCAUCCCCUUUUCCCAGGUUUUUCUGGGAGUGGACACUCCCUCAUCCCCUUUUCCCAGGUUUUUCUGGGAGUGGACAUUCCCUCAUCUCCAUUUCCCAGUUUUUCCUAUCUCAGACAUUCCCUCAUCCCCAUUUCCCAGUUUUUUCCCAGCUCAGGCACUCCUUCAUCCCCUUUUCCCAGUUUUUCUGGGAGUGGACAUUCUCUCACCCCCUUUUCCCAGUUUUUCCCAUCUCAGACACUCCCUCACCCCCUUUUCCCAGUUUUUCCCAGCUCAGACCCUCCUUCAUCCCCUUUUCCCAGUUUUUCUGGGAGUGGACAUUCUCUCAUCCCCUUUUCCCAGCUUUUCCAGAAGCAGGCACUCCCUUAUCCUCUUUUCCCAGCUCAGACACUCCCUCACCCCUUUUUCCCAGUUUUUCCCAGCUCAGACACUCCCUCAUCCCCUUUUCCCAGUUUUUUUCCCAACUCAGGCACUCCUUCAUCCCCUUUUCCCAGUUUUUCCCAGCUCAGACACUCCCUCACCCCCUUUUCCCAGUUUUUCCCAGCUCAGACACUCCCUCAUCCUCUUUUCCCAGUUUUUCCCAGCUCAGACACUCCCUCAUCCCCUUUUCCCAGUUUUUCUGGGAGUGGACAUUCCCUCACCCCCUCUUCCCAGUUUUUCCAGAAGCAGGCCCUCCCUUAUCCUCUUUUCCCAGCUCAGACAUCCCCUCAUCCCCUUUUCCCAGUUUUUCCCAGCUCAGACACUCCCUCAUCCCCUUUUCCCAGGUUUUUUUGGGAGUGGACAUUCCCUCAUCCCCAUUUCCCGGUUUUUCCCAUCUCAGACAUUCCCACAUCCCCUUUUCCCAGCUUUUCCAGGAAGUCGCUGCUUAUCCCACAAUUCCAGAGGGACUGGGGGAAAGGAGCUCCAAUCCCACUCAGUUCCACCUCUCGCCACCCCAGGGAUGGGGAUUCCAGGUUUUUCUGGGAAUUUUGGUGCUGCUGGGGCGGUUUAGGAGAGCCUGGGUUAACGUUCUUUCCCAAAACGCUCCCGGAAGGAUUCCUGGCACUGCCUGGAGCCUCUGGACAGGGGAGCAGGGAACCUUGGGAGGGCGUUAAUUAAUGAACCUGGGCCGCGGUGAUUAAUUAACCCAGGGCUGAGUUAAUUAACGAACCUCCCCAGGCUGCCUC